AAACUUUCAACAACGGAUCUCUUGGUUCUGGCAUCGAUGAAGAACGCAGCGAAAUGCGAUAAGUAAUGUGAAUUGCAGAAUUCAGUGAAUCAUCGAAUCUUUGAACGCACAUUGCGCCCGCCAGUAUUCUGGCGGGCAUGCCUGUCCGAGCGUCAGUU
This 158-nucleotide ribosomal RNA is filed under the name Trichoderma sp. ZAUT245. Its description in RNAcentral is "5.8S ribosomal RNA". It matches the Rfam family "5.8S ribosomal RNA". Rfam says of the family: 5.8S ribosomal RNA (5.8S rRNA) is a component of the large subunit of the eukaryotic ribosome. It is transcribed by RNA polymerase I as part of the 45S precursor that also contains 18S and 28S rRNA. Lineage: Eukaryota; Fungi; Ascomycota; Sordariomycetes; Hypocreales; Hypocreaceae. The record is from RNAcentral.